This 224-nucleotide ribosomal RNA is filed under the name uncultured bacterium. RNAcentral describes it as "partial 16S ribosomal RNA". It matches the Rfam family "Bacterial small subunit ribosomal RNA", at positions 328 to 538 of the family's 1533-position model. The record is from RNAcentral.
ACGCUCGACACCUACGGAGGCAGCAGUAGGGAAUCUUCCACAAUGGACGCAAGUCUGAUGGAGCAACGCCGCGUGAGUGAAGAAGGUCUUCGGAUCGUAAAACUCUGUUGUUAGAGAAGAACACGAGUGAGAGUAACUGUUCAUUCGAUGACGGUAUCUAACCAGCAAGUCACGGCUAACUACGUGCCAGCAGCCGNGGUAAUCUGAGGCGGCUGGACGAAGGC